Molecule: ribosomal RNA, 305 nt
Filed under: uncultured bacterium
Lineage: Bacteria
Description: bacterial SSU rRNA
Rfam family: Bacterial small subunit ribosomal RNA
Source: RNAcentral
UUUUCCCUACGGGGGGCAGCAGUGAGGAAUAUUGGUCAAUGGGCGAGAGCCUGAACCAGCCAAGUCGCGUGAGGGAAGACGGCGCUACGGGUUGUAAUCCUCUUUUGUCAGGGAGCAAGAACGGAUACGUGUAUCCGAGCGAGAGUACCUGAAGAAAAAGCAUCGGCUAACUCCGUGCCAGCAGCCGCGGUAAUACGGAGGAUGCGAGCGUUAUCCGGAUUUAUUGGGUUUAAAGGGUGCGUAGGCGGACUACCAAGUCAGCGGUAAAAUUGCGGGGCUCAACCCCGUCGAGCCGUUGAAACUGG